RNAcentral lists this ribosomal RNA (428 nucleotides) under Coptotermes gestroi. RNAcentral's name for it is "partial 16S ribosomal RNA". Lineage: Eukaryota; Metazoa; Arthropoda; Insecta; Blattodea; Rhinotermitidae. The record is from RNAcentral.
CGCCUGUUUAUCAAAACAUCUUUUCUUGUUAGUUUUUGAAGUAUGGCCUGCCCGCUGACAUUUGGUGUUGAAGGGCCGCGGUAUUUUGACCGUGCAAAGGUAGCAUAAUCAUUAGUUCUUUAAUUGUGAUCUGGAAUGAAUGGCUUGACGAGGCACGGGCUGUCUUAGUGUUGAAUGUUUUAUUGAAUUUGGUCUUUGAGUUAAAAUUCUUAGAUGUUUUUGUGGGACGAGAAGACCCUAUAGAGUUUGACAUUUGGUUUAUUUACUUGUUUGUUGUUUGUUUAUUUUUGGUGAGUGGGCUUUUUGUUUUGUUGGGGUGAUGGGAGGAAUGUACUUAACUCCUCUUAGUUUUGGUUAUAUUGAUUUAUAAUUGUUUGAUCCAUUUAUUUUGAUUAUAAGACUAAAUUACCUUAGGGAUAACAGCGUAA